CACCUACGGGUGGCUGCAGUGGGGAAUCUUGCGCAAUGGGCGAAAGCCUGACGCAGCCAUGCCGCGUGAAUGAUGAAGGUCUUAGGAUUGUAAAAUUCUUUCACCGGGGACGAUAAUGACGGUACCCGGAGAAGAAGCCCCGGCUAACUUCGUGCCAGCAGCCGCGGUAAUACGAAGGGGGCUAGCGUUGCUCGGAAUUACUGGGCGUAAAGGGCGCGGAGGCGGAUCGUUUAGUCAGAGGUGAAAUCCCAGGGCUCAACCCUGGAAUUGCCUUUGAUACUGGCGAUCUUGAGUGUGAGAGAGGUAUGUGGAACUCCGGGUGUAGAGGUGAAAUUCGUAGAUAUUCGGAAGAACACCAGUGGCGAAGGCGACAUACUGGCUCAUUACUGACGCUGAGGCGCGAAAGCGUGGGGAGCAAACAGGAUUAGAUACCCGGGUAGUCAGA
This 445-nucleotide ribosomal RNA is filed under the name uncultured bacterium. RNAcentral's name for it is "bacterial SSU rRNA". It matches the Rfam family "Bacterial small subunit ribosomal RNA", at positions 335 to 798 of the family's 1533-position model. The record is from RNAcentral.